CCUACGGGUGGCAGCAGUGAGGAAUAUUGGUCAAUGGACGAGAGUCUGAACCAGCCAAGUAGCGUGAAGGAUGACUGCCCUAUGGGUUGUAAACUUCUUUUAUAUGGGAAUAAAAUGUUCCACGUGUGGGAUUUUGUAUGUACCAUAUGAAUAAGGAUCGGCUAACUCCGUGCCAGCAGCCGCGGUAAUACGGAGGAUCCGAGCGUUAUCCGGAUUUAUUGGGUUUAAAGGGAGCGUAGGUGGAUUGUUAAGUCAGUUGUGAAAGUUUGCGGCUCGACCGUAAAAUUGGAGUUGAAACUGGCAGUUUGAAGUAAAGUAGAGGUGGGCGGAAUUCGUGGGGUAGCGGUGAAAUGCUUAGAUAUCACGAAGAACUCGGAUUGCGAAGGCAGUUCACUGGACGGCAACUGACACUGAGGCUCGAAAGUGUGGGUAUCAAACAGGAUGAGAUACCCCAGUAGUC
Molecule: ribosomal RNA, 460 nt
Filed under: uncultured bacterium
Lineage: Bacteria
Description: partial 16S ribosomal RNA
Rfam family: Bacterial small subunit ribosomal RNA
Source: RNAcentral